RNAcentral lists this ribosomal RNA (1456 nucleotides) under human gut metagenome. Its description in RNAcentral is "bacterial LSU rRNA". It matches the Rfam family "Bacterial large subunit ribosomal RNA", at positions 833 to 2317 of the family's 2925-position model. The record is from RNAcentral.
UCGAACCCGGAGAUAGCUGGUUCUCCUCGAAAUAGCUUUAGGGCUAGCCUCAUACGAGUCUUGCGGAGGUAGAGCACUGAAUUCCUAAGGGGGCGUCAAAGCUUACUAAGGGAUAUCAAACUCCGAAUGCCGUGUAGAUGAUGUAUGGGAGUCAGACGAUCCGAGAUAAGUUGGGUGGUCAAAAGGGAAAGAGCCCAGACCAACAGCUAAGGCCCCAAAAUGUGUGUUAAGUGGAAAAGGAUGUGGGAUUUCGAAGACAACUAGGAUGUUGGCUCAGAAGCAGCCAUUCAUUCAAAGAGUGCGUAAUAGCUCACUAGUCGAGAGGUCCUGCGCCGAAAAUGUCCGGGGCUAAAACACACUGCCGAAGCUUUGGAAUUGAGAAUUCAAUUGGUAGAGGAGCAUUCUUAAAGGGACGAAGCAGUACCGUAAGGAGCUGUGGACUUUUAAGAAGAGAGAAUGCCGGAAUGAGUAGCGAGAGGAAGGUGGGAAUCCUUCCGGCCGAAUAUCUAAGGUUUCCAGAGUAAAGCUGAUCUGCUCUGGGUAAGUCGGGGCCUAAGGCGAGGUCGAAAGACGUAGUCGAUGGAUAACAGGUUGAAAUUCCUGUACUAUCCUGUAACAGAACUGUGGGGACACAGGCAGAGAGCGUGAGCCGGGAAUGGAAAGACCGGUACAAGCGAGGUAGGAGAAGAGUUGGCAAAUCCGCUCUUCAAUCUGAAGACGUGAUGUGGACUGAAAAUAAGUAGGGAAGCACGUGAGCUGACUGUCAAGAAAAGCCGCUAUUGUUUGCAGGAUACCCGUACCGUAAACCGACACAGGUGGAUGAGGAGAGAAUCCUAAGGCCGACGGGAGAAGCAUUGUUAAGGAACUCGGCAAAAUGACUCCGUAACUUCGGGAGAAGGAGUGCCAGUAAGAUGGCCGCAGAGAAUUGGCCCAAGCAACUGUUUAGCAAAAACACAGGUCUAUGCAAAACCGAAAGGUGAGGUAUAUGGGCUGACGCCUGCCCGGUGCUGGAAGGUUAAGGGGAGAGGUUAGCGCAAGCGAAGCUUUGAACUUAAGCCCCAGUAAACGGCGGCCGUAACUAUAACGGUCCUAAGGUAGCGAAAUUCCUUGUCGGGUAAGUUCCGACCCGCACGAAAGGCGUAAUGAUUUGGGCACUGUCUCAACAAUGCACCCGGUGAAAUUGAAAUACCAGUGAAGAUGCUGGUUACCUGCGCCAGGACGGAAAGACCCCAUGGAGCUUUACUCCAGUUUGAUACUGGGAUUCGGCAUGGUAUGUACAGGAUAGGUGGGAGACUGAGAAGGUAUGACGUCAGUUGUACCGGAGUCGCUGUUGGGAUACCACCCUUACCAUGUUGGAUUUCUAACCUGUGGCCGUAAGCCGGUCAGGGGACAAUGUCAGGCGGGGAGUUUGACUGGGGCGGUCGCCUCCGAAAGGGUAUCGGAGGCGCUCAAAGGU